GGCGGUGGUUCGUCUUCCCUGGCCCACGACACGACAGAAUGCCCAGCAAAUCAGGAAACGUUCUGCGACAGCCUGCGCUCGUCCCUUGGAUACACAUACAUGGUCCCAGCGGACAUCCCAUGCUUUGAAAAGUGCGAACAAGGGUGGUACUAUCAGAACGGGACGUUUAUUGUCGACUCAACUCCGAAUGCCGGUGGAAAGAGGUUACCAACAGUAGUGGAUGUAACCCCUCGGAAGCUGUUAUUGAGUGUCUGCGAGAACCUACAGUGGCAACUUGUCUGUGACAAGUGUAACUGCAUUAUCAAUUAUCUAGUUACAGAUUUGAAACAUUUAGCAGCACGUGACACCUUGACAAGAAAUAAUACAUCAGGAGACGAACAAGAUGGCAACCGUGAAGGCAACGCAGAUUUACCUGACUGGGUGAUUGCUUUAAUUGUGAUUGUGGUUGUUGGUGCAAGUAUCGCCAUUUUAAUUAUUGGAAUAAGGACAAAAGGCUUCUGUAAACCAAAACAAAAUGCUGUGCUAUAGUGGCAAGGCUUUGACUUUGUGCCUUCGAGCAAAUCACCUCAGGUUGCUCCAGAGGGACUGUGUCUGCAAUACCAGUUAUAUAAACCACUCUAAAUGACCACAAUAAUCACUAUUGUACUUUCUAUAUUUCCUCCAUUUUUUUUUCUUGUAUGAUUUUCACAAAUAUAACAUUCUGUUGUUUUAUUAGCUUUGUGUAUUGCAGAGCUUUGUGUGUGUCUUUUAAUCUAAAUGUAACCUUAACUCUGUCUUGUGCUACAUCACAUGCAGGACUAUGGAGGGCACUGACACUAUAUUGAAAAAUUAUUUUAUCAUAAACCAUAUCUUAUCAAAUUAUCUUAGAUCAUUAUCUAAAAAAAAAAGUAUCAAUGAUAAAUGAACUCCUUUAUAUAGCUUUGAAUAUAUAUGAAUAUAUAUUGAAUGUAUAUAUAUA
Long non-coding RNA from Cyprinus carpio carpio, 958 nucleotides. The record is from Ensembl. NCBI's taxonomy places the organism in Eukaryota, Metazoa, Chordata, Actinopteri, Cypriniformes, Cyprinidae.